Molecule: long non-coding RNA, 221 nt
Filed under: Theobroma cacao (cacao)
Lineage: Eukaryota; Viridiplantae; Streptophyta; Magnoliopsida; Malvales; Malvaceae
Description: long non-coding RNA (TCAC_LNC000342)
Source: RNAcentral
AACUAUUUUAAGUUGUCUCAAUUUACUCGACUUUAGAUAUUUUAGAUGAUAUUUGUUUACUCACUGAGUUUAUAUAAACUCACCACCCUCCUUUCCACUCAUCCCAAGCUCAAGAUAGUCAGUAAAUAGCUGAUUACGUCGAGGGUUAUUAUUGGACUCGCCUCUUCAGAAAUUGUAGGUCCACAGCCUUUGUUACCUUUGGUCAUUCAGGGACCCACACG